GUGAAGCGGGAUGAGCCCAAAUUUGAAAUCUCCUGGGGUUUUUCUCUAGGCGAAUUGUAGUUUGUAGAAGUAUUCUCUGGGUCAUGCUAGGCUAAAGUCAUUUGGAAUGGUGCAUCAUGGAGGGUGAAAAUCCCGUGAAUAGCUUAGAUUUUUGAUCCUUUUGUGUGGUACUUUCUAAGAGUCGGGUUGUUUGGGAAUGCAGCCCUAAGUGGGUGGUAAAUACCAUCUAAGGCUAAAUAUAGGUGUGUGACCGAUAGUAAACAAGUAGAGUGAUCGAAAGUUGAAAAGGACUUUGAAAAGAGAGUCAAAAGUACGUGAAAUUGCCAGUAGGGAAGCGUUUGGAACCAGAUGUGUUGACUGAGAUUAAGCCAUUUACUUGGUGUGGGCGAGUGGUGUAUUUCUUGGGAAACUGGUCAGCAUCAAUUCUAGUUGCUGUAUAAAUUGCUUUGGAAUGUAGUGCUUUUCUUUGUUGAUGGGCAUGUUAUAGCCUUUGCGAGGUCUGCGGUGGUUGGGAUUGAGGGUCGCAAUGCCAUUUGAGCUGGUCAGAAUGCUAGGGGAGUAUUCUUGAUAAACAGCAUGCUGUUUUUUUCGAACUGUUUUUUUAACCAGUUUGACUAGUGCUUUUUGGGCGUUUGGGAUGCUGAUAUAAUGGUUUUAAACGGCCCGUCUUGAAACACGGACCAAGGAGUCUAACGUAUAUGCGAGUCUAUGAGUGAGUAAGCUCCAAGGCGAAAUGAAAGUGAUAAGGUGGGAACUUUUUUGUGCACCAUCGACCGCUCUUGAGGAUUUUAUCCGAAGGAUGUGAGUAAGAGCAUGUAUGUUAGGACCCGAAAGAUGGUGAACUAUGCCUGAAUAGGUUGAAGCCAGAGGAAACUCUGGUGGAGGACCGUAGCGAUUCUGACGUGCAAAUCGAUCGU
Molecule: ribosomal RNA, 917 nt
Filed under: Volvorax ingoldii
Lineage: Eukaryota; Fungi; Chytridiomycota; Chytridiomycetes; Polyphagales
Description: LSU rRNA
Rfam family: Eukaryotic large subunit ribosomal RNA
Source: RNAcentral